This 176-nucleotide long non-coding RNA is filed under the name Dasypus novemcinctus (nine-banded armadillo). Its description in RNAcentral is "lncRNA (ENSDNOG00000051645.1)". The record is from RNAcentral. Lineage: Eukaryota; Metazoa; Chordata; Mammalia; Cingulata; Dasypodidae.
AGCUGACGUUACUUUCCUUCUGGGUGCCGGCACGCCAUCGCUAAAAGGAGUUCCACCUAGAUUAGAGGGAACCCCAGAGCUCCCCCUGAAGUUGGGAAGGUGAAACAGUGCAUUUUCUUGUGCUAACAGCAGAUGCUCUUGCACUGUGAUGACAUGUAGAUGCAUGUAAAUGGGAG